CGGAGGAUCCAAGCGUUAUCCGGAAUUACUGGGCGUAAAGCGUUGCGUAGGUGGCAUAGUAAGCAGGGUAUGAAAGCGUGUGGCUCAACCAUACAGCUAUAUCCUGAACUGCCAAGCUGGAGAAUGAGAGAGGUAACUGGAAUUCCAAGUGUAGGAGUGAAAUCCGUAGAUAUUUGGAGGAACACCGAUGGCGUAGGCAGGUUACUGGCUCAUUUCUGACACUAAGGCACGAAAGCGUGGGGAGCAAAUGGGAUUAGAUACCCCGGUAGUCCACGCCGUAAACGAUGGAUGCUAGCUGUGAGAAGUAUCGACCCUUCUCGUAGCGAAGCUAACGCGUUAAGCAUCCCGCCUGUGGAGUACGGUCGCAAGACUA
This 373-nucleotide ribosomal RNA is filed under the name uncultured organism. Its description in RNAcentral is "bacterial SSU rRNA". It matches the Rfam family "Bacterial small subunit ribosomal RNA", at positions 526 to 896 of the family's 1533-position model. The record is from RNAcentral.